GACGAACGCUGGCGGCGUGCCUAAUACAUGCAAGUUGAGCGCUGAAGGUUGGUACUUGUACCAACUGGAUGAGCAGCGAACGGGUGAGUAACGCGUGGGGAAUCUGCCUUUGAGCGGGGGACAACAUUUGGAAACGAUUGCUAAUACCGCAUAAAAACUUUAAACACAAGUUUUAAGUUUGAAAGAUGCAAUUGCAUCACUCAAAGAUGAUCCCGCGUUGUAUUAGCUAGUUGGUGAGGUAAAGGCUCACCAAGGCGAUGAUACAUAGCCGACCUGAGAGGGUGGUCGGCCACAUUGGGACUGAGACACGGCCCAAACUCCUACGGGAGGCAGCAGUAGGGAAUCUUCGGCCAUGGACGAAAGUCUGACCGAGCAACGCCGCGUGAGUGCAGAAGGUUUUCGGAUCGUAAAACUCUGUUGGUAGAGAAGAACGUUGGUGAGAGUGGAAAGCUCAUCAAGUGACGGUAACUACCCAGAAAGGGACGGCUAACUACGUG
This 497-nucleotide ribosomal RNA is filed under the name uncultured bacterium. Its description in RNAcentral is "partial 16S ribosomal RNA". It matches the Rfam family "Bacterial small subunit ribosomal RNA", at positions 28 to 507 of the family's 1533-position model. The record is from RNAcentral.